Molecule: non-coding RNA, 1014 nt
Organism: Peromyscus maniculatus bairdii (prairie deer mouse)
Lineage: Eukaryota; Metazoa; Chordata; Mammalia; Rodentia; Cricetidae
Source: RefSeq, a predicted model, not a curated record
UGGUCAUUAAUUAAGGACUCCCCUUAGUGCUGUGGCUAACCCUCAGCGGGUGCACACUGACAUACGCCGUUCUGUCGUCCAAAAGUCUCUUGAGGGACAAAUGUUUACAUGCGUCAGGAAGAACGCUUCCAGAUGAUGUCAUUGUGAUGUUUCCUGAAAGCAUCUCAUUGGUGGGUUUCUAAGGAGUUGGGACACAGUCAGAGCUUAAAGCAUGAAACCUUCAGCGAGGUCUUCUAAAUGCUUAUUUCUUAUCUUUAAAUUUUGGUAAGGUCUCAUGUAGCCUAACCCAGCCUCUUAUUCACUACGUGGCUGAAGAUGACCUUGAACUUCUGACCACCCCGCCUCCUCCUCCGGCAGCUGGGAUGACUGGCGCACACCACUGUGCUCAGUUCGUGUGAUGCUGGGGUUUGAAUGAAAGGCUCCGUGCACACUGGGCAAGAACUCUACCCACUAAGCUACAUGCCCGGGCUUAGAAGUACAUUCUUUCUAACCUGGCCCCUCGGUGGCCAGAUGUCUUGAGACCCCAGGGUUAAGAGCCACUUCCAGUUCAUGCUCUGAGGCAGAAGAGCCCGCUUCACGUGACUGUGACGGACCUGGCUGAGAAGGCAGGAGCUUUGCUCGUUCUGCGCCACACAAGAGCCCUCUUCUAGUCGGCAAGUUAAGCCAGCUACACCCAUGGUGGCUGGACAAAGAAAGAGGCCAGUAGGAGAAGAGAUGAAAAUUCAAACACCAAUUCAGAGACCGCCUUCUCAGAUCGCACGGUGGAAGGAAGAAUUCAUAAACCAGAAAUGAGGUCGAGAAUGGCGUUGAGUUCAGGCCUGUUUUGUCCUUCGAUAUUACCAUCAUGCCCAGAUGAGAAACACAAAGAGGAGGGCUGAGCCAAAACAUCUGUCCUCCCCACUGCGAGAACCACUGAACAUCGGUUUUAGGAUAGCGCUGAAUAAGCCUGCCCAGGGAAGAAAUACGUGUGUAAGCAGCUCUGUCCAUGCUUUAAUUAAACCGGCCAUCUGUAAA